GUGGAUGUAGCUCAGUGGUAGAGCACUUGCCUAGCAUGCAUGAGGCCCUGGGUUCCAUCCCUAGCACUACA
Molecule: transfer RNA, 71 nt
Filed under: Heterocephalus glaber (naked mole-rat)
Lineage: Eukaryota; Metazoa; Chordata; Mammalia; Rodentia; Bathyergidae
Rfam family: tRNA
About the family: Transfer RNA (tRNA) molecules are approximately 80 nucleotides in length.
Source: Rfam by way of RNAcentral